This 73-nucleotide transfer RNA is filed under the name Escherichia coli. RNAcentral describes it as "tRNA-Gly". It matches the Rfam family "tRNA". From Rfam's summary of the family: Transfer RNA (tRNA) molecules are approximately 80 nucleotides in length. The record is from RNAcentral. Lineage: Bacteria; Pseudomonadati; Pseudomonadota; Gammaproteobacteria; Enterobacterales; Enterobacteriaceae. RNAcentral also lists the same sequence under 1 other name.
GCGGGAAUAGCUCAGUUGGUAGAGCACGACCUUGCCAAGGUCGGGGUCGCGAGUUCGAGUCUCGUUUCCCGCG